RNAcentral lists this transfer RNA (66 nucleotides) under Stenodactylus petrii. RNAcentral describes it as "tRNA-Ala". It matches the Rfam family "tRNA". From Rfam's summary of the family: Transfer RNA (tRNA) molecules are approximately 80 nucleotides in length. Their secondary structure includes four short double-helical elements and three loops (D, anti-codon, and T loops). The record is from RNAcentral. Lineage: Eukaryota; Metazoa; Chordata; Lepidosauria; Squamata; Gekkonidae.
GAGGCCUUGGCUUAAAUGAUAGCGCCUGCUUUGCGAGCGGGAGAUGCGGGUGAGCCGCAGGUCUUC